Non-coding RNA from Lupinus albus (white lupine), 471 nucleotides. The record is from the annotation of a GenBank genome assembly. Lineage: Eukaryota; Viridiplantae; Streptophyta; Magnoliopsida; Fabales; Fabaceae.
ACUUAUAUAAUAACAUUCUUAUCCAUUUUGUAACACCUUAAAUUCUAAUUUUUCUAAGUAUAGUGAAACUCAGAAGGUCUAAGAAAUAUUGUGCAAUUCUCGCCUGAGCGAGAGGGUCUCGCCCAAGCGAGGGGCUCAGAGUUUCUCUCAGGAUUUUUCUGGGAUUCUCGCCUGAGCGAGGGAGAGUUGAGGAGAUUGAAUGAUUCUCGCCUGAGCGAGGGUAUACUCGCUCAAGCGAGAGGGGGCAGAGGGGACUGGAUCAUUCUCACCUGGGCGAGGCUCGGUCGCUUGAGCGAGAUCAUCAGAGUUUGAAAUUUGAAAAGUCGUGAACUCUCGCUUGAGCGAGAGUCUAAAAACCUGAACCCUAAAAUAGAACCCCAAACAUGAAAAGGGGAUAGAUUUUUGGGAGAAAAGAGAGGAGGAGGCAAUUUUCUUGGCAAGAGCUCGUGUAGAAGCACAGAGAAGCUAGAU